AGGUGUCAUCUUUUUCAUUCUCUUUUUACCAGCCGAAUAUGAAGGCUUGAGAAGCCAUGGAAGAAGCUUCCAACUUUCAGCUAAUGCAUGGGUUGCCAGGUUAGCUCGGGUUGGAGGCCGUCAGAGAUAUUAUCACAUUGUCAAGUCUACGCUAUCGGCGUAAGUAAAUCUUAGUGUUUCGAGUCUAUGGCAUGUAUAGGGUUGUAAAGUUGAGUAAGUAAAUGAUACAAGACUAAGAUAUUGGUAAAUAUUUAAUAA
Gossypium arboreum is the source of this 258-nucleotide long non-coding RNA. RefSeq lists it as uncharacterized. The record is from RefSeq and is a predicted model, not a curated record. The transcript is spliced from 2 exons. Lineage: Eukaryota; Viridiplantae; Streptophyta; Magnoliopsida; Malvales; Malvaceae.